RNAcentral lists this non-coding RNA (158 nucleotides) under Parvibaculum sp. RNAcentral's name for it is "6S RNA". It matches the Rfam family "6S / SsrS RNA". From Rfam's summary of the family: E. coli 6S RNA was the first non coding RNA to be sequenced, but its function was unknown until recently. It consists of 184 nucleotides that fold into an extended hairpin structure with a large single-stranded internal bulge. The record is from RNAcentral. Lineage: Bacteria; Pseudomonadati; Pseudomonadota; Alphaproteobacteria; Hyphomicrobiales; Parvibaculaceae.
UGGGUUCUGCCUGGCUCGUCAGGAGCUCAUAUAACUCGGGGCCAUACGAUUCUUAAGGGAGUUGUCCCUGGUUGAGACCGUGGUCUCUUUCACACGACGCCCACCUACUUGUGUAGGUCUCCGAGAAUCAACGCACCAACGGCCAAGGCGGACCCACU